Molecule: non-coding RNA, 133 nt
Organism: Triticum urartu
Lineage: Eukaryota; Viridiplantae; Streptophyta; Magnoliopsida; Poales; Poaceae
Source: Rfam
CUAAUACUCCCUUUGUCCAAAAAUACUUGUCAUCAAAAUAAAUAAAAGGGGAUGUAUCUGGACUUAAUUUAGUUCUAGAUAUACUUUUUUUAUCCAUUUUGGUAACAAGUAUUUUCGGACGAGGGAGUAUAAG